Non-coding RNA from Rattus norvegicus (Norway rat), 37 nucleotides. Lineage: Eukaryota; Metazoa; Chordata; Mammalia; Rodentia; Muridae. The record is from Rfam.
CGGUCCAUCGGGACCUCGGAUACCUGCGUUUAGUUUU